GACGGAGGAUGCAAGCGUUAUCAGGAAUGAUUGGGCGUAAAGCGUUCGCAGGUGGCUGUUCAAGUCUGCUGUCAAAGACCGGGGCUUAACCCUAGAAAGGCAGUGGAAACUGAACGGCUGGAGUGCAGUAGGGGUAGAGGGAAUUCCCAGUGUAGCGGUGAAAUGCGUAGAGAUUGGGAAGAACACCGGUGGCGAAAGCGCUCUGCUGGACUGCAACUGACACUGAGGGACGAAAGCUAGUGGAGCGAAAUGU
RNAcentral lists this ribosomal RNA (253 nucleotides) under uncultured bacterium. Its description in RNAcentral is "partial 16S ribosomal RNA". It matches the Rfam family "Bacterial small subunit ribosomal RNA", at positions 524 to 776 of the family's 1533-position model. The record is from RNAcentral.